Molecule: ribosomal RNA, 1050 nt
Filed under: Salmonella enterica
Lineage: Bacteria; Pseudomonadati; Pseudomonadota; Gammaproteobacteria; Enterobacterales; Enterobacteriaceae
Description: bacterial SSU rRNA
Rfam family: Bacterial small subunit ribosomal RNA
Source: RNAcentral
GGCAGGCCUAACACAUGCAAGUCGAACGGUAACAGGAAGCAGCUUGCUGCUUUGCUGACGAGUGGCGGACGGGUGAGUAAUGUCUGGGAAACUGCCUGAUGGAGGGGGAUAACUACUGGAAACGGUGGCUAAUACCGCAUAACGUCGCAAGACCAAAGAGGGGGACCUUCGGGCCUCUUGCCAUCAGAUGUGCCCAGAUGGGAUUAGCUUGUUGGUGAGGUAACGGCUCACCAAGGCGACGAUCCCUAGCUGGUCUGAGAGGAUGACCAGCCACACUGGAACUGAGACACGGUCCAGACUCCUACGGGAGGCAGCAGUGGGGAAUAUUGCACAAUGGGCGCAAGCCUGAUGCAGCCAUGCCGCGUGUAUGAAGAAGGCCUUCGGGUUGUAAAGUACUUUCAGCGGGGAGGAAGGUGUUGUGGUUAAUAACCGCAGCAAUUGACGUUACCCGCAGAAGAAGCACCGGCUAACUCCGUGCCAGCAGCCGCGGUAAUACGGAGGGUGCAAGCGUUAAUCGGAAUUACUGGGCGUAAAGCGCACGCAGGCGGUCUGUCAAGUCGGAUGUGAAAUCCCCGGGCUCAACCUGGGAACUGCAUUCGAAACUGGCAGGCUUGAGUCUUGUAGAGGGGGGUAGAAUUCCAGGUGUAGCGGUGAAAUGCGUAGAGAUCUGGAGGAAUACCGGUGGCGAAGGCGGCCCCCUGGACAAAGACUGACGCUCAGGUGCGAAAGCGUGGGGAGCAAACAGGAUUAGAUACCCUGGUAGUCCACGCCGUAAACGAUGUCUACUUGGAGGUUGUGCCCUUGAGGCGUGGCUUCCGGAGCUAACGCGUUAAGUAGACCGCCUGGGGAGUACGGCCGCAAGGUUAAAACUCAAAUGAAUUGACGGGGGCCCGCACAAGCGGUGGAGCAUGUGGUUUAAUUCGAUGCAACGCGAAGAACCUUACCUGGUCUUGACAUCCACGGAAGAAUUCAGAGAUGGAUUUGUGCCUUCGGGAACCGUGAGACAGGUGCUGCAUGGCUGUCGUCAGCUCGUGUUGUGAAAUGUUGGGU